Molecule: ribosomal RNA, 497 nt
Filed under: uncultured bacterium
Lineage: Bacteria
Description: partial 16S ribosomal RNA
Rfam family: Bacterial small subunit ribosomal RNA
Source: RNAcentral
GAUGAACGCUGGCGGCGUGCCUAAUACAUGCAAGUCGAGCGAACAGACGAGGAGCUUGCUUCUCUGAUGUUAGCGGCGGACGGGUGAGUAACACGUGGAUAACCUACCUAUAAGACUGGGAUAACUUCGGGAAACCGGAGCUAAUACCGGAUAAUAUUUUGAACCGCAUGGUUCAAAAGUGAAAGACGGUGUUGCUGUCACUUAUAGAUGGAUCCGCGCUGCAUUAGCUAGUUGGUAAGGUAACGGCUUACCAAGGCAACGAUGCGUAGCCGACCUGAGAGGGUGAUCGCCGACCCGGGAACUGAGCCAGGGUCAAGACUCCUACGGUAGGCACCAGUAGGGAAUCUUCCGCAAUGGGCGAGAGCCUGACAGAGCAACGCGGCGUGAGUGAUGAAGGUCUUCGGAUCGGAAAGCUCUGUUAUUAGUGAAGAACAAAUGUGUAAGUAACUGUGCAGAUCUUGACGGUACCGAAUCAGAAAGCCACGGCUAACUACGUG